This 746-nucleotide long non-coding RNA is filed under the name Cavia porcellus (domestic guinea pig). RNAcentral's name for it is "lncRNA (ENSCPOG00000031368.1)". The record is from RNAcentral. Lineage: Eukaryota; Metazoa; Chordata; Mammalia; Rodentia; Caviidae.
GCCAGGUGUAAAAGAUGCCUAGUCUUACCUGAAAAGAAGCGUUUUUAAUCUUUGGGUCUCCCACACAAAUCUCAGUAGCCCGAUCAUAAUGCUUUGGAAAGAGAUCCUCACACUUGUCGUCCUUUUGUGCUACCAUCUCCACUUCCUGCAGUGUGCUUGGAAAUCUUCCCUCUGGGGACAAUUGUCCAUCUGCACUAUCAUCUCCACUUCCUGCAGUGUGCUUGGAAAUCUUCCCUCUGGGGCCAAUUGUCCCCAUCCAGCCACCUGGCACCUGGUACCUGGCUUCACCUGGGUCAUCCCCUUGGGCAGCUUGAGGAGCUGCACAGCUUUAGUCAGCUUGGCCUUUUUCUCCAGCUGGUGGAAAAUAAGUAAGGAAGUCCAGUUCAGUGUAUGCUCCUGGGUAUGCACAGUGUGAUGGACAUGAUGGCAAAGAGGGCAGGGGCAGGGUGCCUGUGGGAGUGGCAACCAUUCUUGAGGAGAGCAAGAGUGACAAGGACAUGUGCCUUACCUUCAACAGCAUGAUCUCGUUGAUGCGUUUUUCCCAAUUAAAGUCUGGGUGGAGAAAUGCCUUUUGUACACGGAAGACUUGCUGGGUGUCCUCUUGUUCCUUGAUGUUGUGGGCCCCCAAGGUGACCUCUAUUUGGCGGUACACAGAGCCAAGUGGACUGGUGGAUGUGGAGCUAAAAAAGAUACAACCCAAGAUCUGUAAAAGCAGGCCACAGCUGAUAAAGUGUAUAGCUGUAGAU